Long non-coding RNA from Alligator mississippiensis (American alligator), 1375 nucleotides. RefSeq lists it as uncharacterized. The transcript is spliced from 4 exons. The record is from RefSeq and is a predicted model, not a curated record. Lineage: Eukaryota; Metazoa; Chordata; Crocodylia; Alligatoridae.
GUAGCCAGGUGCCUGAUGAGGGCAGCCAUUUUGGACCCAGGGAUAUAAGCUGGGCUGCAGUUUGCAGCAGGAGGAAGGAGGAAACAUCAGGCUGAGAGGCUGGUUUGGCCAUAGUCAGUAGCCAAUAAAUGGCCUAUGCAUGCACGCAGCUGCAGCGUGCAUGGGACCAGAAGCACAGCCCAGCUUGGAGAGCUGCAUCCAGCUGAUCCCUAAAAAAUCUUGAAUAGAGGGCCGGACCUCUUUGAAUUGGGAAGAAAGGAGGUUCCAAGAGAACUGGAAGGGAAGGCUGCAUAGACCUUAAACAAAAUGCAGCAGCAGGAAGAGCAAACAAAAAGACCUGCCAAAGGGGAAAAAAAGGAAUAAAGAGGGGUUGUGAACACCCUCAGGGAGGGGCAUACCACCUGCAUUUGAUUUCAGUCAAUGAAGGCUUCUCACUGCAUUGUGACUUGAAGAGUUGUUUAUAAACUGCAUCACUGAGUUUAUCUCCAUUUGGUUGGAAGUCUCUAGGCAAAGCUCUAUGGUUUUGUCAGGCAGGAGGGUGAUGGGACAGCAAGCAGCUGUUGCUGAUGGACAUUGGGUCAAAUUGUACUAACAGCAAGCUUGGCAUUGUAGAGUACACAGAGGAAAGGCAGUCUUUCCCUACCUACCUGCCCCCAUCCUCCCCUGUGGACUUUGCAGUGUCAAAGAGGCAAGCAACACAACAAACACAUAAGCCAAAAAAUCAGCAGAUGCCUGGGCAGAAACAGAACAUACCAGUAAAAGGCCAAGCUUACUCUCAAGGACUUAUCAACAGAAUUAGAAAAGGCACAGAGAAGGGCAACCAAAAUGAUCAGCAGUAUGGAGUAGUUGCCACACCAAGAGAGCCUAAUAGGCUAGGACUCUUUGGUUUGGAAAGAAGGCUGAGGGGGGGUAUAUUAUAGAGGUCUAUAAAAUCAUAAAGGCUGUGGCAAAGUGAGCAGGGAACUGUUACUUACCAAGUCCCAGAAUAGUAGAACUAGGGAGCACCCACUGAAAUUAAUAGGCAACAGCUUUUAACUAAAAGAGAAGGUUUUUUCUACAACACAUGCUAACUCAUAGAUUUCAUUGCUCCAGAGGAGGUGGAGGCUGCUGGCACUAGAUUUAUGACCCAGAUACCUUGUUCUGGGCAGACCCAAACUCUCAGACUGACCACAACCUCUCUAUUAGAUAAUAGGCAAAUUUUAUUGAUAUAUAGUGACAGACGAUAAGAAUACUGCAAAGAAUUUUAUUAGGGCUGACAAAUGAUUAAAAAAAUAAUCGCGAUUAGUUGCAAGAUUAAAAAAAAGUUGCAAUUAAUCUCAAUCUUAAUCUCACAGUUAAACAAGUCAGUACCCCUCACCCAACAGCCCAGAGCCCG